Non-coding RNA from Paramuricea clavata, 2775 nucleotides. The record is from the annotation of a GenBank genome assembly. Lineage: Eukaryota; Metazoa; Cnidaria; Anthozoa; Malacalcyonacea; Plexauridae.
UGAUAAUUCUCGAUAUCAUACAAAAACCGAAUUCAAUAAUUGUUUUAUUAUAUAUUCAAAAUUUAUAAAGGAAGCAAAGCCAUUAUGUCUACGCUUUUAAAAAUAUGGAAUUUUUGUGCGCUUUUUGGCAAACAAUGGACCGCGCUGGGGCUUGGUAACCACAGCGUGCAAUAAUACUUUUUUGGACCGAUCUUCGGUCCAAGAAAAGUAUUGCGCUCUGAUGGCGCUAGCAGGUGAAAUAACGUGACGGCUUCAAGAUAGUGCGAGAAUUAUCCGACACAUUUUGACCAAUCAUGAGAAUAGACUUUGAAUAUAUAAUUAUCACUAUUAUUACUAGGGAUGAGCCGAUUAAUCGGUAAAUAAUUGGCAAAGCCAAUUAAUCGGCCAUUUUUGUGGCUAGACGCGCUGCACGGCCAGCCACUAUCAUAUCCACAAAAAACGUUUUGCGAUCUUACAUUUUUCUCAAUUUGCAUAUUGUCAGAGAGUGGUCGGAGACCUCAGUGUCAGACUUGCGCAUAUAUUACUGUUCUAAACAGGAGGCAAAAUUUUUCAGCAAGCCGUAUGCAGUUUCAUAUUUUGUGAAAGAAUUCUUCAAAUUUUGCCAAUUGAUUGAUGAACUCGUCCUCUUCAAAGAAAAGGUAAGUAAUUAUUCUUGUGUUCGUUGUUAUUUUCAUUCCAUUUUGUAUUUUUUAUAACAUUGUAUAAAACGAAAGCUAUUAAAUGGUCUGCUCUUGUCAAAGGUACUUUUGUUCAGACUCCAUAUUAAACUCAAACGCAUUGCCAUUGUGCUUGGAUAAUUACUUGCCUGCCAACUUGCAGCUUGUUGAAAUUGUGCGGGUAAAUGAAGAAGCAAGCCUAUUGCUGGCAUUAUAUUACACAACUGCACUAUCAGCUUGCAGGUAUAUAAAAACAGGUUAGACUAUGUUAUAUUUAAUACUAUGGUGGUCACGGACAUGGCUCUGACUGCAAAUAUGGGUGCUAUUGUUGAAAUCUAUUGUUCAAGGUUUGUCUCUUGCCACAAUUUCACACAGUGCAAUGGAAGCUUAGUCUGUUUACCUAAAGUUGAAGGAUCUUGUAGAUGGAAAUAAUCGCCGGAAUGGAAAUAUAUUCACAUUUAUUAGACCUAACCAGGAACAGCUUCAAAAAAUGCAACUGUAGGUCCCUUGCAGGAAGCGAACCUAUGUUUCCAGUGCAGUUUAUUUUUGGAUAUUAAAAUAUAAUUAAAUUUUGACAAUUUCAGGUAAAAUUUGCAUAAUAAAGUUGUUAUUUAAAUGAUAACCAUUUUCGUAAAAUACAGUCAAUUUAGAUCCAAUUUGUUUGCGAAUAUGAGUUAGAAAAUGCCAGAAAUGCAGUCCUGGACAACAGUAGAAAUCAAUCGAAAAAAGCUCUAUUAUAAUUAUUACACUUCAGGUAGUUUUUUUUCCUGCCCCCAACUUCAGAUGCUUUGCUACGUCCCUGAAGAUCAGUGCAAUCACCAUACAACACUGAACCUUGCAAUUGUGAGGUUAUAUGAAAUAGCAAACCCACAGCCAUUGUGCUGAGAUCAUAGGCCAGUUAACUUGUACAUUAAACACCAUAGGAAUAUUAAUCAAUCAAUCAAAUGUUGCUGAAAUUCUAGACUAUUAAUUAUCUAGCAUCGAUACAGAUUGAAUACAGAAAUGUCCUAUAUAAACCCGAUCGUUGAAGAAAUUCUUUUUGCGGAAUGAUUUAUAUUAUCAACCCAGCAUGUGCCUAUAAUUAAAUAGCUAAAAAUGUUUAUUUAAUCUUUAGUAUUCUAUAAAAGUAUAAAUCAUCCCUCAAAAUGCAGGAAUGCCAUUUCAGAGACUCCAGAAUUCAAAAUUUUUGUGAGUAUACCCAGGACGCCCUAGAAGUUUUUAUGUGUGACUUGACGCUUACACCUGUUGAAAAACCUGUUUUACCUGUCCCACUCACAACUUUGGAGAACCCUGAAGAGGAAAGAUCCUGGGUACGAGGCUGAUGAUCUGCCUUAAAUAUUUUGUUCUUUUUAAACAAUUUGCAGAUAACAGCACGAUUCAAAUUCAUGGUGGAGCAUGACAUCUACAGUACUUCAAGCAACUAAGUAAACAACCUUGUUCCCAAUGCUAAGUAAACACACAUUUUGGACAAUUUGCUGAUAAUAUGGUGACUGGUGAUAAUAUUGGAUAAGUAUAGAAAGAUAAUUAUACGCAAGUAUCAGGGCAGUACAAGUAUUAGACAAACGUUUUAGUGGUGAUGACAUGAUCAAUUGGAUGAGUUCUUAUCAAUUCUGAUGCUGUUAGAUCUUACAAUAAAUAAAAAAUGUUUAAAAUCUCUAGUAUUAAAUAUUAUAUUAAUGAAGAACUUUGAAUAAUUUGAAAGGUUUUAUGAAAUUUGCAAUGCCAGCAAUUCAAGAAAACUUUUAAACCAUGCAAUGAAAUCUUAAUGAAUUGCUGGAUUGUUUAAACAUGCAUUACCACAUACCUCUUACUAUAUUUUUGUAGAGUGAACUUUUUGAAAAGAAAUAAAUUGACAUCAUUAGUUGCUGUAUAUGCUGAUUAUUAAAGCAAAACAUUUAUUAAUUAAAGUGUGACUCAAUAAUAUUGUUGGCUGUGCCAUUGCUUAUGCUAUCAAAGCCAUUAAUUUGUUGGCACUUGGCAUUGUAAGAAAGAUACUGAAUCUGUUUAUUUUGACCAUUAUUCUAUUGUAAUUAUUAAUUUUGUAUCUAAUCACAAUGAAUGUUUGUGAUGAAUGUUUAUGACAAUGUAAACUCCAGCUGUAUUUAUAAUUAAAAGGCUA